Molecule: ribosomal RNA, 253 nt
Filed under: uncultured bacterium
Lineage: Bacteria
Description: partial 16S ribosomal RNA
Rfam family: Bacterial small subunit ribosomal RNA
Source: RNAcentral
UACGAAGGGGGCUAGCGUUGUUCGGAUUUACUGGGCGUAAAGCGCACGUAGGCGGAUCGAUCAGUCAGGGGUGAAAUCCCAGAGCUCAACUCUGGAACUGCCUUUGAUACUGUCGAUCUGGAGUAUGGAAGAGGUGAGUGGAAUUCCGAGUGUAGAGGUGAAAUUCGUAGAUAUUCGGAGGAACACCAGUGGCGAAGGCGGCUCACUGGUCCAUUACUGACGCUGAGGCACGAAAGCGUGGGGAGCAAACAGG